This is a long non-coding RNA of Poecilia latipinna (sailfin molly), 912 nucleotides long. RefSeq lists it as uncharacterized. The transcript is spliced from 2 exons. The record is from RefSeq and is a predicted model, not a curated record. NCBI's taxonomy places the organism in Eukaryota, Metazoa, Chordata, Actinopteri, Cyprinodontiformes, Poeciliidae.
AAAUGUAUAUUUUGGUGUAAAUACACAUUCAGUCGAUCUGCUUUUGUUUAUUUCCUUUAUUCUGAUUUGCUUUAACUCAUCAAUAAUUAAGACGUUGGUUUGGUGUGAGGAACGUAGCGUAGCAUCAGUGAAUCUGUGAUCGAUCUCAUUGGUCUGCUGAAUAAACUUCAUGAAUCCUGGUUUGGUCUGAACGGAUGAAACCAGGAUGGAGUCAAGUCGGGAUCAUCUGAUUAUUGAUUAAUUGAUUUUUAUUUGUUCCCUGCAGGCGUGGGAACCCGCUCCACCUUUGCUCAGAGCGCUAUCAGAAGAUCGAGCGUCUGUGGCGGCAGCACGGCAUUGCUGAGGUCAUAGGUCAUGCUCAGGAGGCCAAUCAGACGCUGGUUGCCAUCGACUGGCAGCACCUGUGACCGCGGACUGGCCCUGCCCACUAACGAACCUCUUUGAACCAAUCAGCUCGCUGCAGCUGCAACCUGAAUCCUCCAAUCAGACAUCACCUCUUCAGGAGUUGUCGUGAUUGGCUGGAGGUCAGGUGAUUUAUGUCAGGUGUACAUUGCAUUUUGAUAGACUGGGUCUCCAUGGCAACCCAGGUGACAGUAAUCGGCUUACUCCCUGAGACAUCAUUAUGAAAACUUCAGCCAAUCGGAAGCCAGAACUGUGCGAACGACGCCGUUGGUCCACCGUCUCCAUGGCAACCAGGUCGAUGAGCCGAGUCUGAUCGGGUUUUAUUCACUUCCGCUUUAAUGUUUUAAUUAACGAGGUGAGCGUGUGACAUCACUUCCCGUUUGUGUGUUUGAGUUUGGGGAGGCGGAGCGUCAGAACCGGACCAGAACCGGACUGGGUCCGGCUGAUGCUCCGUCUUGGUAAUGUCACUUUAACCUGUAGAACAGAACCAAUAAAAUGGGCUUUAAAGAA